This 505-nucleotide ribosomal RNA is filed under the name uncultured bacterium. RNAcentral's name for it is "bacterial SSU rRNA". It matches the Rfam family "Bacterial small subunit ribosomal RNA", at positions 29 to 518 of the family's 1533-position model. The record is from RNAcentral.
AUGAACGCUGGCGGCGUGCCUAACACAUGCAAGUCGAACGGAUUUACUCGCUGCUAAGACUUCGGUCAAAGCUUGAGUAAAGUUAGUGGCGGACGGGUGAGUAACGCGUGGGCAACCUGCCUCAUACUGGGGGAUAACAGUUGGAAACGGCUGUUAAUACCGCAUAAGCGCACAGUGUCGCAUGACACAGUGUGAAAAACUCCGGUGGUAUGAGAUGGGCCCGCGUCAGAUUAGCCAGUUGGCGGGGUAACGGCCCACCAAAGCGACGAUCUGUAGCCGGACUGAGAGGUCGGACGGCCACAUUGGGACUGAGACACGGCCCAAACUCCUACGGGAGGCAGCAGUGGGGGAUAUUGCACAAUGGAGGAAACUCUGAUGCAGCGACGCCGCGUGAGUGAAAGAAGUAUUUCGGCAUGUAAAGCUCUAUCAGCAGGGAAGAAAGGCUCGUAAGAGAGAUGACGGUACCUGACUAAGAAGCCCCGGCUAACUACGUGCCAGCAGCUGC